CUGUUCGACAAGGCGGUGU
RNAcentral lists this unclassified non-coding RNA (19 nucleotides) under Chlamydomonas reinhardtii. RNAcentral's name for it is "small RNA Cre_1530". The record is from RNAcentral. Lineage: Eukaryota; Viridiplantae; Chlorophyta; Chlorophyceae; Chlamydomonadales; Chlamydomonadaceae.